GAUGACCUUUUGCUACAGGCUUAACACAUGCAAGUCGAGGGGAAACGACAUCGAAAGCUUGCUUUUGAUGGGCGUCGGCCGGCGCACGGGUGAGUAACGCGUAUCCAACCUGCCCACCACUUGGGGAUAACCUUGCGAAAGUAAGACUAAUACCCAAUGACGUCUCUAGAAGACAUCUGAAAGAGAUUAAAGAUUUAUCGGUGAUGGAUGGGGAUGCGUCUGAUUAGCUUGUUGGCGGGGUAACGGCCCACCAAGGCAACGAUCAGUAGGGGUUCUGAGAGGAAGGUCCCCCACAUUGGAACUGAGACACGGUCCAAACUCCUACGGGAGGCAGCAGUGAGGAAUAUUGGUCAAUGGACGAGAGUCUGAACCAGCCAAGUAGCGUGCAGGAAGACGGCCCUAUGGGUUGUAAACUGCUUUUAUAAGGGAAUAAAGUGAGUCUCGUGAGACUUUUUGCAUGUACCUUAUGAAUAAGGACCGGCUAAUUCCGUGCCAGCAGCCGCGGUAAUACGGAAGGUCCGGGCGUUAUCCGGAUUUAUUGGGUUUAAAGGGAGCGUAGGCCGGAGAUUAAGCGUGUUGUGAAAUGUAGAUGCUCAACAUCUGAACUGCAGCGCGAACUGGUUUCCUUGAGUACGCACAAAGUGGGCGGAAUUCGUGGUGUAGCGGUGAAAUGCUUAGAUAUCACGAAGAACUCCGAUUGCGAAGGCAGCUCACUGGAGCGCAACUGACGCUGAAGCUCGAAAGUGCGGGUAUCGAACAGGAUUAGAUACCCUGGUAGUCCGCACGGUAAACGAUAGAUGCCCGCUGUUGGUCUGAAUAGGUCAGCGGCCAAGCGAAAGCAUAA
RNAcentral lists this ribosomal RNA (844 nucleotides) under uncultured bacterium. RNAcentral's name for it is "bacterial SSU rRNA". It matches the Rfam family "Bacterial small subunit ribosomal RNA", at positions 28 to 862 of the family's 1533-position model. The record is from RNAcentral.